Molecule: long non-coding RNA, 2087 nt
Filed under: Nicotiana benthamiana
Lineage: Eukaryota; Viridiplantae; Streptophyta; Magnoliopsida; Solanales; Solanaceae
Description: long non-coding RNA (NBEN_LNC015420)
Source: RNAcentral
CUAUCUGCCUUUGCGCUAUUUAAAGUUUACAAAAUAAAACCUCCAUUUGAUUGUUUUCUCUCGCAAACAGAAAACUCGAGAUUAAUCAAUUCCCUUUGUAGUACUUCGUUUCACUUUCCCUUUUAACUAUCACACUGCUAAGUAAAAACCACGCAUUCACUCCGGGAAAAGAACAAUAAAAGAAUAAUUUUAUGCUAUUCUAAAAAUACUUGCUAAAUUAAAUAGUAUGUUUCAAUUGAGACAUGAAUCUUUGCAGACAUACAUAUUGAACCAAAUUGUCACCACAAACAACAGACUCAGUAGAUAUUAUGGCCAUGAAAUGAGAGCUUCAACAAAAUAGGCAAAUUUUAGCUAUCCUCAAGCCAAAAUAGUGCAUUUCAACCUAAAGUGAUCAAUUAAUUAACAACAAAAUCACUACACCAAAUAAGGAAUUUGAUCCUUCUUUUUAGUAUAAGCUCAUUACACCACGUAAAGUCAUAAGAACCUCCGAAUCUUGACAAGAACAUCUAUUAAUCAAAAUAUGAACUUAGCAAAAGAUUAAUUCAAAACACAGUAGCAUAUGUAAUUGAUGAAACAGACAGCAAUAAGUCACUCGUACUUGCAUAUUAAUUCAACAGUUUAACACACAAUGAAUCAAAAGAUUUAAACAAAGUAAUCGCCACUUUAGCUCAAAUGAGCCUAUUGCAUAUAACCAGAUGAAUCCUUACUAACAAACAUAGGGCAACAGCUAACCAACAACCUAUCAAAAACCAAGCAGAACACAUAUAAGAACGUGAACUACUAGUAAUCAAGGCUACUGCAAGCCAACAGUGCAUAAAUUUACACUCAAAGUAGUGCAAAUAGACUGCCUGUGCAGUGCAAACAGGGCAGAUUUUUCAUGCUGAAACAAGCAAGAACAACUAUUGAUCUUCCAACAUAAUGACCCUCAAAGAGCAAAUAGGAUCAAGGAUAACCUCAACAACUUCAAACCAACAGAACAUACAGACUUGGUCACGGAAUCAGGGAAGAAGGAACAUAAGGGAAAAAGAAAAAGAGAAUUAAAAUAAACAAAUCAAAAGAACCAUGAGAUGAACCUGAAUUGAUAAACACUUGCGAUUAACUUUAUUUUACUCGAACCUUGAAUACAAGUAGAAUCCAAUAACUAACAUCAACAACCAGCAACAGAAAUGAGUAGGAAUCAAAAGCUCGGACAGCGGCAAACUCAGCAACUUUCAAUCGAACUUCAUUUUUUAAAUGAACUCCAACCCAGAAAGACGAUAGGAAGUAUAUGUUUUCGAUUUUCCCUUUUUUGAACAAUAAUCUAGAACGAAAACAAAUUUGAAGAACAAUGGACAUUUUUAUAUCUUCUCUUGUUUUGGAAAACUGAACUCCAACAGUUGACUCGAUAUCAACUCAAUCCCUCUCCGCUUUUAAAAAGAAUCAGAGAAAGACCAUGAAACUUUUUUUAGUUUUUUUAAAGAAAAAAGAAACAGAACUCAUAAUCAAACAACCAAAACAAAAGAAGCUGAUUUUUUUUUAGCUUUUUUCCCAGAAUCCAAACUAAAAUGCCAUUAAAACUCAAUGAAAACUAAAUGAAUGCUCAAAAUUUCCCUUUCCGAAAAAAUCCCCCAACUCUGAACAUUUUCUACUCCUUUUAGGAAUCGGAUAAAGCCCUUUUUGAAAAUGAGCACAUGAUGAAUGUGAGGUUCGGAUUGAAGGAGAUCGAUCCGAGGCCUAUCACUCAUCCAACACCCAUCUUCUAGAGCCUUCCAAUCGUGAUACACAUCUAAAUAGUGAGAUGGGAGGGGAUUCGCGUCAGAAAUCCAUUAGAACGGUGAGAGAAGGGAUGGCGGAACGCGUAGGUUGGGGAUUUGAGGUUCAAACGCUCGAAUUUGGAAAGUAUUAGGGUUGGACUCGGGUGUUCUUUGGGAGAAGAAGGAGAACAGUCUCAGACGCGUUUGAGGGAUUAGGGAUUGGGCUGCGUAUGUGUUUUGUUUAAUUGGGGAACAUGUCGGGUUUGGGCCUGGGAUUGGGGCGGACGCGAGAAACUGUUUGGGAUGGGAAUUUAAUUAAAGGAAUUUUUACCUAUUUAUACCAUAUAACAAACC